CCCCUAGAAGAUGAAGAACUGGUGGAGUACAUCAUCACCGGCUUGGGCGAAGAUUUCUCGCCCAUCGUCUCUGCUCUAUGCGCUAGAGUGGAACCCAUCUCCGUUGGUGAGCUUUAUUCACAACUUCUCAAUUUUGAAA
Molecule: small nucleolar RNA, 139 nt
Organism: Setaria italica (foxtail millet)
Lineage: Eukaryota; Viridiplantae; Streptophyta; Magnoliopsida; Poales; Poaceae
Rfam family: Small nucleolar RNA Z247
About the family: Z247 is a member of the C/D class of snoRNA which contain the C (UGAUGA) and D (CUGA) box motifs.
Source: Rfam